RNAcentral lists this ribosomal RNA (253 nucleotides) under uncultured bacterium. RNAcentral's name for it is "partial 16S ribosomal RNA". It matches the Rfam family "Bacterial small subunit ribosomal RNA", at positions 524 to 776 of the family's 1533-position model. The record is from RNAcentral.
UACGUAGGGUGCAAGCGUUAAUCGGAAUUACUGGGCGUAAAGCGUGCGCAGGCGGUUGUGCAAGACAGAUGUGAAAUCCCCGGGCUCAACCUGGGAACUGCAUUUGUGACUGCACGGCUGGAGUGCGGCAGAGGGGGAUGGAAUUCCGCGUGUAGCAGUGAAAUGCGUAGAUAUGCGGAGGAACACCGAUGGCGAAGGCAAUCCCCUGGACCUGUACUGACGCUCAUGCACGAAAGCGUGGGGAGCAAACAGG